ACGGGAGGCAGCAGUAGGGAAUAUUGGACAAUGGGUGAGAGCCUGAUCCAGCCAUGCCGCGUGCAGGAAGAAGGCGUUAUGCGUUGUAAACUGCUUUUGCCAGGGGAUAAAAAGACCGUGCGCGGUUAAUUGAAGGUACCUGGUGAAUAAGCCACGGCUAACUACGUGCCAGCAGCCGCGGUAAUACGUAGGUGGCAAGCGUUGUCCGGAUUUAUUGGGUUUAAAGGGUGCGUAGGCGGCUAUCUAAGUCAGUGGUGAAAUAUCUCAGCUUAACUGAGAGGGUGCCAUUGAUACUGGAUAGCUUGAGUACAGAUGAGGUAGGCGGAAUUGACGGUGUAGCGGUGAAAUGCAUAGAUAUCGUCAAGAACACCGAUAGCGAAGGCAGCUUACCAAGCUGUAACUGACGCUGAGGCACGAAAGUGUGGGGAUCAAACAGGAUUAGAUACCCUGGUA
Molecule: ribosomal RNA, 453 nt
Filed under: uncultured Cytophagales bacterium
Lineage: Bacteria; Pseudomonadati; Bacteroidota; Sphingobacteriia; Sphingobacteriales
Description: bacterial SSU rRNA
Rfam family: Bacterial small subunit ribosomal RNA
Source: RNAcentral